CCACGCCUGAAGUCCCGAGGGACCCGGGGCCAAGGGCGCAGUAAGGGUGUGGGCUGCGAGGAGGGCGGGUUCGGGACGAGACGUGCCGGAGAGGAGGGAAGACGCGGACCUCCGCUUGAUUAAUAAUAAACGUCUACCGUUGUUCCGAUGUCUUUUGAAAGUAGGCAUAUCUUUCUAAGAAGGAGCAAUCUGCAAGUGAGCUCGGAGGCAGACGUGACAUUGGUUGACCUGUGGGAAGCUCUCAUGUUCAUCCAAUGCUAACUGCAUUCUGGGAAUACCAGAUGCAGUUCUCAAGUUAUAAUUACCUGGAAUGAAGGAUGAGCAGAGCUCACUGGAGAGUACUGAAUCACUGACAACCAAAAGCGUUAAGAAGUUACUGCCUGGAGUCUUUGAAGCUCUGGUUGAAGUUGCGAUUUUGGGUUUGGGGUCAAGCAAUGAAAACAUCUGCAUGCCCCAAAUCCACAUGCCCAGAAGGCUGGAAACAGACGUAAGCAAUAGCUAUGGAAGAAGUGGGCUGCCCCCAGAAUAGUCUGCUGUAAGGAGAACAGGUGAAAACACAGGAGGCACUGAAGUUUGGGAGCAGGUCAAGAGUGGAAGGAUAUAACCUCGUAGAGACCAGACCUCAAUCUGGUCCACAUUUAACAUCUACCUAAACUCAGAGUUUACUUUGUUUAGCACCAAAGUACAGAAAUGUCUCUUUUUUUCAAAGAAUAAACUAUAAAUACAAACACAUAUUGCAUUCAUUCCU
This is a long non-coding RNA of Mirounga angustirostris (Northern elephant seal), 748 nucleotides long. RefSeq lists it as uncharacterized. Lineage: Eukaryota; Metazoa; Chordata; Mammalia; Carnivora; Phocidae. The record is from RefSeq and is a predicted model, not a curated record. The transcript is spliced from 4 exons.